This is an RNA transcript of Ricinus communis (castor bean), 2117 nucleotides long. It is a transcript of the gene named WAT1-related protein At1g43650, with no coding region annotated. The transcript is spliced from 7 exons. Lineage: Eukaryota; Viridiplantae; Streptophyta; Magnoliopsida; Malpighiales; Euphorbiaceae. The record is from RefSeq and is a predicted model, not a curated record.
UAGUUGUGUAAAUUACUCUUUCACAGUUCUCGUGUAGCAGCAAAUAAUCUUUGAAAUUGUAGACAUUAUCUUCCAAGUGAAGCAAAACUGAUACUGCAGUCUCUAGUAAGUGCCAAACAGUAAACAUGCAUAUUUUAAACCACUAACAUUGGAACUUCUCUCGCGCUAUAUUCUUAAGGAGUGGCAGAAAAAAAAUAUGAAGUUUGCUUUGAACUGGUGGCCAAAAAGAUAAAAGGUUAGUUGGAGCCUGAUUUGCAUUUUAAGCCAUUUAACAUUGAACUUCGUGGCACGAACAGAUUCUACAGUGUUUGGUUGUUGCAGUGCCUUCUCCAAGCAAACACUAGCUAUCAUCAACAGCCAGUGAGUACCUUGGCGAAUAAAGUGGCCUCAUGAAAGAAUAAGAGAGAAAAAUUUUAAAAGGUACAAGAGAAUUGAAUUGGACGGAAAAUAAAACUAGGCGAUCGGAGGAUUACGAAAGAAAUGUGACUGUGACUAGGAUAAAUAAGAAGUAAAUCAGUUGGCUGGCUUGUGCUCAAUUAAUAAUGUUACUUUGAAAAGAAAAGAAGUGGGGCAUCCUACUUCUGUAGCAUACUGCUGCACAGAUGAUAAUUUCCACUAGUUAAAGGAAUGCCAUCCUAUUCUUGCCUACUUAUAGAACAGAAAAGAAAUACUAAAUUAAUAUGUGGCUAAGACUUCUCCUUUAUUACUAUUUAAGUGAAGUUCUCUGUCAUUGCAUCUCUAUACGUACCCCAUGGCAACCUGCACGUCUUAUGCGGCAAUGAUACUCGUUCAAUUGGCUUAUGGAGGAUCAAAUAUCCUCAUGAAAAUAGCCCUUGAGAAAGGACUCAACCAACUUGUCUUUGUGGUUUACCGGCAUUUGAUUGCCAUGAUUUUGGUAGGGCCGUUUGCUUAUGUUCUUGAAAGGAAGCAGAGGCCUCCACUUUCGCUUCCAGUGAUAACGAAGAUUUUUGUGCUUGCUUCCCUAGGAACUACCAUCCAUCUUAAUGUUUAUUAUGCUGGACUAGCGUAUACUUCUGCAACAGUUGCAAGUGCAUUGAGUAAUGUCAUCCCAAGUUUGACGUUCGUCAUGGCAGUUCUAUUGGGGAUGGAGAAGCUGAAGAUUUCAAGUGCUAGAGGAUGGGCUAAGGUAUUUGGCACCGUCAUUUGCAUAGGUGGGUCUCUCGUCUUCACCUUUUGGAAAGGAGGAUAUCUUUAUAAAAGCCUUGAGGAGAGGCCGCUCAUAAGCAUUUAUAGCAGCAGAGGACAUAAUGAGUUGAGGCAUGCUAAGGAGAACUGGAUCAAAGGUUCUGCUCUUAUUCUGACCAGCCACAUCGCAUGGAGCGCUUGGCUAAUUCUGCAGGCUGUGGUUUACAAAGUGUACCCGGCUCGCUUAUCACUGACCACUUUGAUAUGCUUUUUCGCAUCAAUUCAAUCUUCUGUGCUUGCCUUGUUUUUCGGAAGAAAUCCUACACUCUGGAAGCUGGAUUGGAAUGUGCAGCUGCUGACCAUCAUUUACUGUGGAGUUGUGAUUUCAGCGUUAGUAUAUUACCUACAGACAUGGUGUAUUAGCAAGAAGGGGCCUGUUUUUGCAGCCAUGUUUAGUCCACUGCUUCUGAUUAUUGUGGGAAUAUUCUCAGCCAUCGCUUUCGCGGAGAGACUCCACGUCGGCAGUUUGACAGGAGCAGUUCUCAUAAUAUUGGGCCUAUACUGCGUGCUGUGGGGCAAAAGGCAAGAGGACAGUACUGCCGAAUCGCCAGAGGAAGGAAAAGGCAGUGUUGGUGAUGGAAACCCCGUAGAGAUUCCCAUAAAUCAUAAUGCAUUAACAAGUGCUAAACAAGCUCACAAAGGAAAUGAAACUGAAAAUCCAUAAGGAGUGGCUGAUGAAGAGCAAUCCAUCCAAAAAGGCUGAAGACACAACUUUUAAUUCAGGCAAGGCCUUUUAAGGGUUUAGGGAAAAGGGGGAAGCGGGCGUAUAUUAUGAAGAUGCAAGAACGGGAGAUUAGGGUUUUUUGAGCAUAUUCAGAGCACAGCACGACGCAGCGUGUUUGAGAAGGAAGAAGGAAAAUGAAGACAAUAUUGUCAUCGGAGACGAUGGACAUACCCGAUGGGGUUAAAAU